RNAcentral lists this ribosomal RNA (253 nucleotides) under uncultured bacterium. RNAcentral's name for it is "partial 16S ribosomal RNA". It matches the Rfam family "Bacterial small subunit ribosomal RNA", at positions 524 to 776 of the family's 1533-position model. The record is from RNAcentral.
UGCGUAGGGCGCAAGCGUUGUCCGGAAUUAUUGGGCGUAAAGAGCUCGUAGGCGGUUUGUCGCGUCUGCUGUGAAAACUCGGGGCUUAACUCCGGGCCUGCAGUGGGUACGGGCAGACUAGAGUGCGGUAGGGGAGACUGGAAUUCCUGGUGUAGCGGUGAAAUGCGCAGAUAUCAGGAGGAACACCGGUGGCGAAGGCGGGUCUCUGGGCCGUAACUGACGCUGAGGAGCGAAAGCGUGGGGAGCGAACAGG